This 433-nucleotide ribosomal RNA is filed under the name uncultured bacterium. RNAcentral's name for it is "partial 16S ribosomal RNA". It matches the Rfam family "Bacterial small subunit ribosomal RNA", at positions 29 to 507 of the family's 1533-position model. The record is from RNAcentral.
AGCGAACGCUGGCGGCAGGCCUAACACAUGCAAGUCGAACGAACCUUUCGGGGUUAGUGGCGGACGGGUGAGUAACACGUGGGAACGUGCCUUUAGGUUCGGAAUAACUCAGGGAAACUUGUGCUAAUACCGAAUGUGCCCUUCGGGGAAAGAUUAAUCGCCUUUAGAGCGGCCCGCGUCUGAUUAGCUAGUUGGUUGAGGUAAUGGCUCACCAAGGCGACGAUCAGUAGCUGGUCUGAGAGGAUGAUCAGCCACAUUGGGACUGAGACACGGCCCAAACUCCUACGGGAGGCAGCAGUGGGGAAUCUUGCGCAAUGGGCGAAAGCCUGACGCAGCCAUGCCGCGUGAAUGAUGAAGGUCUUAGGAUUGUAAAAUUCUUUCACCGGGGACGAUAAUGACGGUACCCGGAGAAGAAGCCCCGGCUAACUUCGUG